GAUGAACGCUAGCGGCAGGCUUAAUACAUGCAAGUCGAGGGGCAGCAGGGUGUAGCAAUACAUCGCUGGCGACCGGCAAACGGGUGCGGAACACGUACACAACUUUCCUUUAAGUGGGGGAUAGCCCAGAGAAAUUUGGAUUAAUACCCCGUAAUAUUAUGAAGUGGCAUCAUUUUAUAAUUAUAGCUCCGGCGCUUGAAGAUGGGUGUGCGGCUGAUUAGGUAGUGGCGGGGUAACGGCCCACCAAGCCUACGAUCAGUAACUGGUGUGAGAGCACGACCAGUCACACGGGCACUGAGACACGGGCCCGACUCCUACGGGAGCAGCAAGUAAGGAUAUUGGUCAAUGGACGCAAGUCUGAACC
RNAcentral lists this ribosomal RNA (364 nucleotides) under uncultured bacterium. Its description in RNAcentral is "bacterial SSU rRNA". It matches the Rfam family "Bacterial small subunit ribosomal RNA", at positions 28 to 389 of the family's 1533-position model. The record is from RNAcentral.